UCAGUGACAUUAAAACAGGAAUUGUCAUCACCAAUAGACGAAUUUCACAUUCCUAAGAGUUUUCUCCAAUUGUCGGCGUAUCGCUCAUUUUUCCCACUUUGUCCUUUGUCCUGUUCUGUGGAUGCCCUGACAGUGUCUAUCCAUCACUCCAUCUGAUAUCACUUGUUCUGAACAUAUUUCUCUCUCAAACUUAAACUACAGAGAGCCUGUGGAUAGAGGAUGAAGAGUGACCUUGCAUUAAUUUUCUAGGUCAAAGAUCAUAGGUGAUGUGAAGAAAACCAGGAAACUGAUGUUAAAAGAAGUACUUAAUGACCCUUAUGAAUGGACUUAAAUGUGAAAGACUGUUCCAUUGUUUA
This is a long non-coding RNA of Saccostrea cuccullata (small rock oyster), 356 nucleotides long. RefSeq lists it as uncharacterized. NCBI's taxonomy places the organism in Eukaryota, Metazoa, Mollusca, Bivalvia, Ostreida, Ostreidae. The transcript has 3 exons. The record is from RefSeq and is a predicted model, not a curated record.